AAUCUAUUGGAAUUAUCAUUUGUUUUAAAUUAAUUUGGAUUUUGGAACCAGGCCUUUGCAAUUUGCUUCAUAAACUUUGAAGUAUUGUUUCAUAAAUCACAUUGGAAGGCUUAUUACUUAAGAGUGUGUUUGGAUGGGGGAAUGUUUUGAGGGAAUGUAUUGUUUUAAGGGAAUUCAAAUACUUUGGGGUGAAUUCCAUUGUUUGGAUAAUAAUUUGAAGCAUUUUCAAAAUGAUG
Molecule: microRNA precursor, 236 nt
Filed under: Medicago truncatula (barrel medic)
Lineage: Eukaryota; Viridiplantae; Streptophyta; Magnoliopsida; Fabales; Fabaceae
Description: miR2676c stem-loop (mtr-MIR2676c)
Source: miRBase by way of RNAcentral